Molecule: ribosomal RNA, 253 nt
Filed under: uncultured bacterium
Lineage: Bacteria
Description: partial 16S ribosomal RNA
Rfam family: Bacterial small subunit ribosomal RNA
Source: RNAcentral
UACGGAGGGCGCGAGCGUUGAUCGGAAUUACUGGGCGUAAAGCGCGCGUAGGCUGUUGUGUAAGUUGGGGGUGAAAUCCCACGGCUCAACCGUGGAACAGCCCUUGAUACUGCGCGACUUGAAUCCGGGAGAGGGUGGCGGAAUUCCAGGUGUAGGAGUGAAAUCCGUAGAUAUCUGGAGGAACAUCAGUGGCGAAGGCGGCCACCUGGACCGGUAUUGACGCUGAGGCGCGAAAGCGUGGGGAGCAAACAGG